This 105-nucleotide small RNA is filed under the name Salmonella enterica subsp. enterica serovar Muenchen. RNAcentral describes it as "partial RtT sRNA". It matches the Rfam family "RtT RNA", at positions 28 to 130 of the family's 130-position model. From Rfam's summary of the family: This family represents a bacterial cis-regulatory element known as RtT RNA. The exact function of RtT is unknown although it is thought that it may be involved in changing the cellular response in relation to amino acid starvation. RNAcentral also lists the same sequence under 1 other name. The record is from RNAcentral. Lineage: Bacteria; Pseudomonadati; Pseudomonadota; Gammaproteobacteria; Enterobacterales; Enterobacteriaceae.
AGCUUCUACCAAGGUUCGAUUCGAGCGAAAGCGAGAAAGCUUUGCCGCAGGCAACGACCCGAAGGGCGAAACGCGCAGCGCUGAGUCAUCCUUCCCCCACCACCA